AACCCCCAGCUAGGCUGGGGGUUCCGUAAAGCUUUCAGCUAUAAGUCAGUUAUAAAACCCCUUUCAAUUUGUUAAAACAC
Molecule: non-coding RNA, 80 nt
Organism: Vibrio cincinnatiensis DSM 19608
Lineage: Bacteria; Pseudomonadati; Pseudomonadota; Gammaproteobacteria; Vibrionales; Vibrionaceae
Source: Rfam